GUCCACCUGAUGAGGAGACUAGCACGAUUCUUGAGCAGAGUUGUCCAUGGGCUCCUCACCUGAUGACUUGGCGAAUCUCGCAAACGUCUGUUGCACCGAAUCACCCCUUGCAUCCAGCUAGAAAACAGAAAUUCUUCAUCUCCAAAUUUGAAAACAAAAAUUCGCCAGAAAAGGUUUCUUCAAGCAAUCACAUGAUUAUGAUUGCAUGAUAUACAGACUCCUUGUACAAUUACAUGGGAUGGGAGACCCUUUCUUGCAAAUAAACAAGACAAAUCUUUCGUCUGAUCAGUGUGAUUGGAUUGAAGAACAAGAUUCGCUCAAGAGGAGAGUAGUUGUGGAAGAUGAUUUUACAUGGUCUAUAUCCUUGGAAGAAUCAGUCAAAGGAGAGAAACUACGAUAUGUUGGAGGGGUUGAUUUGAGCUUCUCAAAGGACGACCCUUGUAUGGCGUGUGGUGCACUUGUAAUUUUGGACCUGGAUAGCCUCGAUGUUGUCCAUGAUGAUUUCAGUGUUGUCCAACUUCAAGUUCCAUAUAUACCUGGCUUCCUUGCCUUCAGAGAGGCUCCAGUUCUUUUAGGCCUGUUGGAAAAGAUGAAGCGAGAUUCUCAUCCUUUCUAUCCCCAGCUAUUGAUGGUUGAUGGGAAUGGAUUACUGCAUCCUCGAGGUUGUGGUUUAGCUUGUCAUCUUGGUGUUAUGGCCAAUCUUCCAACCAUUGGGAUAGGCAAGAAUCUGCAUCAUGUGGAUGGUCUUACUCAAUCUGGAGUGAAACAACUUCUGGAAGCAAAAGAAAAUUGUGCCAAGGAUCUGAUCACUUUGAUUGGGAACUCUGGGCGCAUAUGGGGAGCGGCAAUGCGAUCUACUCAAGGUUCUUCAAAACCAAUAUUCAUAUCGAUUGGACAUCGUAUAUCUCUCAAUGCAGCUGUCAAGAUUGUUAAAAUGUGCUGUAAAUACCGUGUACCAGAGCCAAUCCGGCAAGUAAGGUUUAUUGCUUUCUUUUGUGCUCACAUAACACACAAGUCUGUCCUAUUUCAGUUUGAACUUUUUCAAAUUCUAGUUUAGUGAUUGAGGGCCUUUUGGAAGUACCUGCAAAUUGGGAUUGGUUCUGCUUAGAGAACCAAUCCACUGUAUAUUUGCAGCCGCUCAAAUAAUGCAAACAGCAGGUGGGUCUUCUUUUUCCCUUCCACCCAAAAUGGGUGUUUAUACUUGUCAGUGCUCUCAUCAAUGAGAAAUUGAUUGGAGGCUUAUUUUUGGAACGAUCUGCUUAUUUUAAUCGCCCCAUUUAAUGUGGAAUUUGAGGAUUUGAUUUUCCAGGAGGCAAAUGAAAUAGCCGAAACUCUUCCUAAAGGCGGAGUGACUGGAGAGCAUCAGUCAUUGCCUGCUCUUAGUAUUCUAUUUUCAAUCUUUUCUUCUCGACAAAUUCAUUUGACCUUACUGUUCCUAAUGUGUGUUGUGUAUAGAAUGGCCUCCUUGAUUUCUUCUUGACACAAUGUACUUCUAUGAUUUAAAACUUGGCUGCCAUGGCAUUGGCCAUAAAUGAUAAUGCUUACCUAAUUUGCUUGUAUUUUUUGUCACUCAUAAACAUUAAAAUCAGAUGCAUUAAGUUCAUUUUAUUGAUAGCAAAUGACGAGAAGUAUAUGAAUUUUCUUCCUGUGGCCUUCCUUGGCCUUCUUUUUUACAUUUUGAAAAUGCAGGCUGAUAUAAGGUCGAAAAGAUACCUCCAAAACCAUUCCGAGAUCAUUAAAACAAUGCGUGUGCAGUAACUGGUACUCUUCUGGUUAUCUUCAUUAUGGCUUACAUUACUAAACAUGAAAUGCAAAUUUAUUGACCGGAACCCAAGACUUCCGCCUCCACUACAAUGGUUGCCCACCAUCAUCAAUGUCGGGUCUUCUAUUUUAUUUGAUCAAAUAUGGAAGCUGUUCUAUCUUGGCAUUUGCUUUUUGUAUUCUGAUAAUGUGUGUUUAUACUUUAUACUUCUUGCCAAGACGAGAGCUCUGACAGACUUGACUUAUGUUAAACAUUGGAAUAUUAGAAGUUAAAAGUUGUAUUACUUUUACUGUAAA
This is an RNA transcript of Magnolia sinica, 2058 nucleotides long. RefSeq lists it as uncharacterized. The record is from RefSeq and is a predicted model, not a curated record. Lineage: Eukaryota; Viridiplantae; Streptophyta; Magnoliopsida; Magnoliales; Magnoliaceae. The transcript has 9 exons.